Molecule: unclassified non-coding RNA, 1126 nt
Filed under: Hevea brasiliensis (rubber tree)
Lineage: Eukaryota; Viridiplantae; Streptophyta; Magnoliopsida; Malpighiales; Euphorbiaceae
Source: RNAcentral
GGAACAGUUUUAGGAUGGUAGCUGCUGCUUCUUCUUCUUCUUCUGUCAGAUGCGGUGCGAGUCGAGAGUCUGCAUUUUUAUUUUAACCUAACAUUUUUUAAGGCACGCGUGUCCAGUCCAAAAACGUGUUUCCCAUUUCCAGAAAUUCCGGAAAAGCCUUGCCGGCAUGUCAUCCCAUUUCUGACAUAGGGAAACGCCACCAUUCUCGUUUCCAUGCAUCGUAGAUAGUGAUAACAAAUAAAAUCUUUGUUGUGAUUGAGUAAAUGAAGCUUACCUAUUUUUUCUUGUGCAGCAUUGUUAAAUUCUCCUCAUUAUCAUCCCCAUCAUCCACCUCAAGAAAGUACAUCUAACACAAUAGCAGAUGUUGUAAGCUUAAGGAAAACAACUUAAAUGUAAAAGCCAGCGACUCACAUCUUCUUCAUCAGUUACUUUCUGUUCCCCAGGAACAGUUAAUGAAACAGGUUGACGUCCCAACUCACUUGGAUAGACUUUCUGCAUUACUCUGCAACAGCUUGGGCCAAAGAAUCCUGGAGGCUCAACUUCCACAGCAGGUAUAACAGAAGUCUUGGGCUUCUUUUUGGUUUUGAUGACCAGUUCAUCUUUAUCAUUCCAAAUGUCAACCAUGCCAGAGUCUCCACCAGACGAAUCCUUUUGACCCUGUUGAGCAGUAUCCUUGGCUAUCUGAAGUUUACUUUUCUUCUUGGAUUUCUUCCCAGUUGAAGAAGGUACAGGUUCAACAAAGGCAUUGCUUUGUAGUAUACUAUCAUAUCGAAGUACUUUCUCCCGGUGUUUUUCAAUUUUCCGUUUGACAGAAAGAUCUCUGGAUUUGUCGACAUAAAAGAGAGAGUCACUGGGAACUUGAGCAAGAGAACCGCCUGAAAGAGCAUCUUUAGUGGAGUUGUCAAAGAAAUCUUCAAUAUCCUCCGUACUUAUGUUGGCUCUCCAUGCCUUCUUCCCUUUCCUUGAGCUCUUAUUCUUCCCCAUCUCUAAUCCGUCACGCUGAGAGAUAGAGAGUCGACAGACGAGAGUUUUGCUGCGCCGCUGUGCUUGCUGGUCGCCGACACAGUGUCUCUGAGAGUUCAGAGAACAAAAAAGAGAGAGCUGGAGGCUGUGGCCUGUGAGUUUU